RNAcentral lists this ribosomal RNA (332 nucleotides) under Javanimetrus cyaneus. RNAcentral's name for it is "Heterometrus cyaneus partial small subunit ribosomal RNA". The record is from RNAcentral. Lineage: Eukaryota; Metazoa; Arthropoda; Arachnida; Scorpiones; Scorpionidae.
UAAUAUAUUAGAAAUUAGGUAGUAAUGGAAUCUCAGAAACCUAAAGAACUUGGCGGUAUUUUAAAUAAUUGGAGGAACUUGCUAUUUAAUUGAAAUUCCACAACAUAUCUUCCCAAAUUUUUGUUUGUAUAUCGUUGUUUAAAGACAACAUUUAGAGGAGUAGUCAAAAUUAAUAGUUUUUAUAAAAUCAAAUCAAGGUGCAGCAUAAUUUGGUUAUAGUGAGUUACAAUAUGUAUUAUGUAAACGGAAAAUGACAUGAAAAUUAGAUAGAAGGUGGAUUCAAAAGUAAUAAAAUAUUAAGAAGUUUUUAUGAAUUAUAUUUUAAAAUAUGC